ACUCAAAGGAAUUGACGGGGGCCCGCACAAGCGGCGGAGCAUGUUGCUUAAUUCGAUGCAACGCGAAGAACCUCACCUAGGUUGAACUACGCAGGAAAAGCCACAGAGAUGUGGUGUCCUUCGGGGUCUGCGAUAGGUGGUGCAUGGCUGUCGUCAGCUCGUGUCGUGAGAUGUUGGGUUAAGUCCCGCAACGAGCGCAACCCUUGUCCUGUGUUGCCAGCGGAUUAUGCCGGGGACUCGCAGGAGACUGCCGGGGUCAACUCGGAGGAAGGUGGGGACGACGUCAAGUCAUCAUGCCCCUUACGUCUAGGGCUGCAAACAUGCUACAAUGGACGGUACAACGGGCUGCGAAACCGCGAGGUUUAGCGAAUCCCUUAAAGCCGUUCUCAGUUCGGAUCGGAGUCUGCAACUCGACUCCGUGAAGCUGGAGUCGCUAGUAAUCCCGGAUCAGCAUUGCCGGGGUGAAUACGUUCCCGGGCCUUGUACACACCGCCCGU
This 497-nucleotide ribosomal RNA is filed under the name uncultured bacterium. RNAcentral's name for it is "partial 16S ribosomal RNA". It matches the Rfam family "Bacterial small subunit ribosomal RNA", at positions 899 to 1397 of the family's 1533-position model. The record is from RNAcentral.